Molecule: non-coding RNA, 607 nt
Organism: Oncorhynchus mykiss (rainbow trout)
Lineage: Eukaryota; Metazoa; Chordata; Actinopteri; Salmoniformes; Salmonidae
Source: RefSeq, a predicted model, not a curated record
CACGGCAGGUGGAUGCGGCUUCCUCAGUUCACCAUGCUCAUAAAGAAAACAGCUGUGUAUUUCAGCUGCAAGCCUGAGAAAGAACUGAGAAAACGUACUAAAAAGUAAAGACAGACACCAGAAAGAGGCCCAAGAAGACUUGGACGCAGGAACAGAGGACAGCGAGGGAUGUUCAGAACUCACUCAGUCCGGUUUGGAGAAUGACUUCUCAACCCAAGACUAAGAGCAGCUGUGAGAAAGCAUCAGUUUGGAAGCAUUUGGGAAAAUGUAAAGUGCUAAAGAAGGUUCCUGGCAAAGAGGAUUGACUGUUAUGGGUCAGAGCCAGCUCUCACAAACAGAACAUGGAAAGACAUGAAAACCUGGUGCACAACAAAAUGCAAACAGAAAAGGCUCUCCGCAGCCGGUAAAAGGCUAGCAUGCCACAAAGAUGACACAGGUGAAUGGGAGAGUUGUAAAAGACAAAAAGCUUUUUAGACAUAGCUCCAAAAUGCAGGUGCUAGUUGAGCUCAUGAGCUAGUUCUGUUUUGUGGUGGAAAACUUAGUGUGUCGAGCAUAAUAUGUCAACCCUGUUACCAAUAGAUAAAAACGCUAGACAUUUUUUAGCAAU